Molecule: ribosomal RNA, 777 nt
Filed under: uncultured marine bacterium
Lineage: Bacteria
Description: bacterial SSU rRNA
Rfam family: Bacterial small subunit ribosomal RNA
Source: RNAcentral
AACAGGGAAGCUUGCUUCCGCUGACGACCGGCGCACGGGUGCGUAACGCGUAUGCAACCUACCUCUUACAGGGGAAUAGCCCGAAGAAAUUCGGAUUAAUACCCCAUGGUAUUACAGAUUCGCAUGAUGAAGUAAUUAAAGAUUUAUCGGUAAGAGAUGGGCAUGCGUCUGAUUAGACUGUUGGUGAGGUAACGGCUCACCAAGUCGACGAUCAGUAGGGGUUCUGAGAGGAAGAUCCCCCACACUGGCACUGAGAUACGGGCCAGACUCCUGCGGGAGGCAGCAGUAGGGAAUAUUGGUCAAUGGAGGCAACUCUGAACCAGCCAUGCCGCGUGUAGGAAGAAUGCCUUCUGGGUUGUAAACUACUUUUAUAUAGGAAGAAAACGCCAUGCGUGGUAAUAUGACGGUACUAUAUGAAUAAGCACCGGCUAACUCCGUGCCAGCAGCCGCGGUAAUACGGAGGGUGCAAGCGUUGUCCGGAUUUAUUGGGUUUAAAGGGUGCGUAGGCGGUUUAUUAAGUCGGAGUUGAAAUCCCACAGCUUAACUGUGGAACUGGCUCCGAUACUGGUUAACUUGAGUAUGGUUGAGGUAGGCGGAAUUUAAGAUGUAGCGGUGAAAUGCAUAGAUAUCUUAAAGAACACCAAUUGCGUAGGCAGCUUACUGGACCAUAACUGACGCUGAGGCACGAAAGCGUGGGUAGCGAACAGGAUUAGAUACCCUGGUAGUCCACGCCGUAAACGAUGAUUACUCGAUGUCUGCGAUACACUGUAGGCGUCC